UACUCCUACGGGAGGCAGCAGUGGGGAAUAUUGGACAAUGGGCGCAAGCCUGAUCCAGCCAUACCGCGUGGGUGAAGAAGGCCUUCGGGUUGUAAAGCCCUUUUGUUGGGAAAGAAAUCCAGCUGGUUAAUACCCGGUUGGGAUGACGGUACCCAAAGAAUAAGCACCGGCUAACUUCGUGCCAGCAGCCGCGGUAAUACGAAGGGUGCAAGCGUUACUCGGAAUUACUGGGCGUAAAGCGUGCGUAGGUGGUCGUUUAAGUCCGUUGUGAAAGCCCUGGGCUCAACCUGGGAACUGCAGUGGAUACUGGACGACUAGAGUGUGGUAGAGGGUAGCGGAAUUCCUGGUGUAGCAGUGAAAUGCGUAGAGAUCAGGAGGAACAUCCAUGGCGAAGGCAGCUACCUGGACCAACACUGACACUGAGGCACGAAAGCGUGGGGAGCAAACAGGAUUAGAUACCCUGGUAGUCCACGCCCUAAACGAUGCGAACUGGAUGUUGGGUGCAAUUUGGCACGCAGUAUCGAAGCUAACGCGUUAAGUUCGCCGCCUGGGGAGUACGGUCGCAAGACUGAAAC
Molecule: ribosomal RNA, 575 nt
Filed under: uncultured bacterium
Lineage: Bacteria
Description: bacterial SSU rRNA
Rfam family: Bacterial small subunit ribosomal RNA
Source: RNAcentral